UAAUCUAAACUAGAUUAAAAAAUUAAAAAAAAAAAAAGUUUUCUGUGACUUAUAAAAUAAGAAAUAUUUUUUUUCUAGACUUCUUAAUACUUACAAAACCAAGUGUGCCGUGAUAUGCUGUAGGAGUGGAUACAAAAAGCAAAAUAUCAAAUACAAAAAGAAAAAGCUACAUUUACAAUUGAUAAAAUAAGCAAUGGCAACCCUAGAGAAGAACAACAAAAAAAUUUGUCUAAAAAGUUCCUCCAAAGACAGGACAUUUAUACAGAAAAACAAGAUACCUGGCGGAAUCAAACCAGCAAGAUAUAAUACUCACCACUGAUAUAUCAACAUUGGGUGUAUCAACCACUCCAC
Long non-coding RNA from Hydra vulgaris (swiftwater hydra), 351 nucleotides. RefSeq lists it as uncharacterized. Lineage: Eukaryota; Metazoa; Cnidaria; Hydrozoa; Anthoathecata; Hydridae. The record is from RefSeq and is a predicted model, not a curated record.